GCAUAUCAAUAAGCGGAGGAAAAGAAACCAACAGGGAUUGCCUCAGUAACGGCGAGUGAAGCGGCAACAGCUCAAAUUUGAAAUCUGGCCUCACGGUCCGAGUUGUAAUUUGUAGAGGAUGCUUUUGGCGAGGUGCUUUCCGAGUUCCCUGGAACGGGACGCCAUAGAGGGUGAGAGCCCCGUACGGUAAGACCACCGAGCCUCUGUAAAGCUCCUUCGACGAGUCGAGUAGUUUGGGAAUGCUGCUCUAAAUGGGAGGUGUACGUCUUCUAAAGCUAAAUACCGGCCAGAGACCGAUAGCGCACAAGUAGAGUGAUCGAAAGAUGAAAAGCACUUUGAAAAGAGGGUUAAAAAGUACGUGAAAUUGUUGAAAGGGAAGCAUUCAUGACCAGACUUGGGCUUGGUUGAACAUCCGGCGUUCUCGCCGGUGCACUCUGCCAGUCCAGGCCAGCAUCAGUUUGCCCCGGGGGACAAAGGCGGUGGGAAUGUGGCUCUCUUCGGGGAGUGUUAUAGCCCGCCGUGUAAUGCCCUGGGGCGGACUGAGGAACGCGCUUCGGCACGGAUGCUGGCGUAAUGGUCAUCAAUGACCCGUCUUGAAACACGGACCAAGGAGUCGUCUUCGUAUGCGAGUGUUCGGGUGUCAAACCCCUACGCGUAAUGAAAGUGAACGUAGGUGAGAGCUUCGGCGCAUCACCGACCGAUCCUGAUGUUCUCGGAUGGAUUUGAGUAAGAGCAUACGGGGCCGGACCCGAAAGAAGGUGAACUAUGCCUGUAUAGGGUGAAGCCAGAGGAAACUCUGGUGGAGGCUCGCAGCGGUUCUGACGUGCAAAUCGAUCGUCAAAUAUGGGCAUGGGGGGCGAAAGACUAAUCGAACCUUCUAGUAGCUGGGUUUCCGCCGAG
This 900-nucleotide ribosomal RNA is filed under the name Sarocladium strictum. RNAcentral's name for it is "LSU rRNA". It matches the Rfam family "Eukaryotic large subunit ribosomal RNA", at positions 38 to 965 of the family's 3401-position model. The record is from RNAcentral. Lineage: Eukaryota; Fungi; Ascomycota; Sordariomycetes; Hypocreales; Sarocladiaceae.